UACGUCUUCCUAUGCUUCCUCAGUUUUCUUACAAAUUUAGAUUUUCAUGUGUUAUCAAUCUCGCCAUUAUCAUAAUUUAUAGACUUUUAUGGUGUAUAUGUGUAAUACUAAUGUGAAAUCAUUUAUAAAUUUAUAUAUAGGAGCUUAUACUACGCCGCCAGUGUCUACCGGUCCCUACGUGGCACCACCACCUCUAGGUUACCCUACAAACGACACAAGUUAUGCAACGGCGGCUCCAGUCGAGACAAAGACUAAGGGUGAUGGAUUCUUGAAAGGCUGGUUAGUCUCUCUUUCUCCUUUGAGAAACUUUGAUUUUAUUUAUUUAUUUAUUUAACUGUUAUAUGUUAUGGAAGCUCAACGUGACAGGUCCUGCUUGCUCGUUUGGUUAAUAUAAACUAACCUGAUCGGUUAUUGUGUGUUGACACUUAAAAAGGCUGAUAAUAUUUUUUUCUGUUGUUCUAUUAAUGCAGUCUUGCGGCCAUGUGUUGCUGUUGCGUCCUCGACGCCUGCUUCUGAGCUCGGAGGGCUUCGAUGGUGUUUAUUUGAUUGUUUUAUGCAAAUUUAUCUAUGAUUGUAUUUUGCUUUUACCCAAAUUUAUAUUUUGGUGUUCGAUUAGCUAGCUUUUGUCUUUUGAUAUUUGGUGUAUAUCUAUUUGUUGAUUCAUUUCCUUAAUUAUAACUCUUUGGUUUGAAUUGCGGAAUUUAUUAUCUUAAUAUAUCAAUCUUAUUAGUUUUUACACAUACAGUACAUCCCAUAAAUCAUAUGCUAGAUUACAGUGUUGACUUUAUUACCGCUUAGUCAACUUGAACUCGAAAUCAAUAUACAACUAUACAAGUACACUAUUAAGUCAAACAAGUUUUUAAUAAAAGGGAAACUAAACUAUAUACGUAUGUACUUAUUGGGGUGAGAUUACAAACACUGAAACCCCCUAAAAGUCACUAACACAAAAAUCGAAGGUGAAUCCGGACAAAAAUAAGGACAAUGACUGAAAUGUAUAACGCCGGUAAAACUGCGGUGAUUGUAAAAUCCAUCGACUAUGGUCACGACCAAAAAAUCCUUCAGUUUACUGUCUGCUUGUUGGAUCCAAAUGUUUUAAAUAGGAUUGUCUUUUUUUUUUUACGUGAAGAUUUAACCAUAUUUUUAAUUUUUUUGUUAAAAAUGUACUUGUUCAAGUUUUUUUUAGUGAAAGUCAAGAUUUAUAGUGAAAAUAUAUUUACAUGCAAAAAUGCUUGCUUUGGCUAGAAGUAUCGGCGUCGAUGAAAUGAAAACCAUAUACAUCGUCUGAUAAGUAUAUACGAAUUUCUCUAUUGCAAACUUUUUCAAUCUUCAUCAUCACUUUCGAGUUUCGACAGAACCAACUCAAAUUGAUUUUUACAAUUUGACUUCAUCACUUUGAACAGGUUUACUAAUUUCUUCUUGUUAAUAAGGGAAAAAUUUUAUAAUAUAUAAAAUCCAUAUCAUGUAAGAGUAUUCAAUAUUUAAUACUAAUAAUUUCAAUAUAAAAAACUAUGGAAUAAAACAUAUAUUUUCAUUUAUUUGUUAUAUUACAAAUAAAUUAAAUUAAAAAAAUCAGCUAAAAUAUUUAAAUUAAAUUGGAUACUUCCGUCGUGGCCGUUAUCUCGAGGGUCGUCGCUGGAAUAAAUAUAGGGAGACUUAAGCAGUUAAUGAUAUCUGCCCUUGCCCUCACGCGGUUCCUACUAAUACGACCCUUGUCUUAUUAAUUCUUCUUCCCUACUACUAUAUAUCUUCAGUUACAUAUAUCAUUUCAAUUCAUAUCAUCUCUUCUUACAUACUCUUAUCCUCUACAUAUACUUUCAAAGAAGAAUCUUAAUUAUUCUGUUCGAAGAUGAGCCAAUCCAGCCAAGACCAAUCUGCAGGUUUGGUUUUAUAUUUCUUUUCUCUUUUUUUUUUACUACAAAAUUAGCAUCUUGUCAUGUGUCAUCAAUCUCGUCAUGCAAACAUCAUAGUUCUAGUGUUUUAUUGUUAUAAACCUUAAAUGUCAAAUAUGUGUGUUACUUAGGAGCUUAUCCUCAGCCGCCAGUGUGUACUGGUCCCUUCGUGGCACCACCACCGCUCGGUUACCCAACGAACGACACAAGUCAUGCGACUCAUCAUGCCACUGCGGCUCCGGUCGAGACAAAAUCUAAGGGUGAUGAUUUCUUGAAAAGCUGGUUAGUUUUUCUCUCUGUCUUAUUCUUUUUUUUUUCAAAAUUUUUUACGGUGGCUCAGUCAAAUAUUGAACCGGAUAGGUUUUUGUGUGUUGAAACUUGAC
Molecule: long non-coding RNA, 2272 nt
Filed under: Capsella grandiflora
Lineage: Eukaryota; Viridiplantae; Streptophyta; Magnoliopsida; Brassicales; Brassicaceae
Description: long non-coding RNA (CGRA_LNC001098)
Source: RNAcentral